This is a long non-coding RNA of Mesocricetus auratus (golden hamster), 836 nucleotides long. RefSeq lists it as uncharacterized. The record is from RefSeq and is a predicted model, not a curated record. The transcript is spliced from 2 exons. Lineage: Eukaryota; Metazoa; Chordata; Mammalia; Rodentia; Cricetidae.
AUGAGCAGAUCUUUAUGAAGCUUCUGAAUGGCAGCAGGCACUGAGCAAUGUUCAGCCAUGUUAGAUGUUAAUAGGACUGGCAGGUGCUUCAUAGAUCUUCAGUAGCGACUGGCUCUCACACGGAUGGGCGUUUGCUGCUUGCUGUGUUGUUGAGAACCGUGAAUGCUGGGGUAAGAGAGUUGUGUUUGGGCAGCAAUCUACAGAGAAGAGACAUCCAAGGUGGUGGGCUCGUGGAUGGAAACCUCAGCUCUGACAGAGGCCUGGAUGUCUUGGCCCAACUCAGAAAGUGAGAAGAACCUGGGUUUGCCUGGCACCAGAGGGUCGGGCCUGGACUCCUGCUGGAAUCAGGCAGCAGUGCACCUGGUCAACUGUACACAUGAAGAGGAGUGAGAGCCCUGCAGUUCCCAGACCCUGGAGCAGCUGCCAGCCUGGGGCCGCUGAAGCACAAGCCAGAAGAACAAGCCUCAUGCCAGGAUACCCCGAGAGGAACUCCAGGGCACAGGUGGUCUUGGGAGGAGCUGGGGAGGAGCAGACACUUGCAAACCUGAGGCCCAGCUAGGACAAGCCAAGGCAGAGAAGCUAACCAAGCCGGACACCCCCUGGCUGUCAAUCUGUCCUGGUCAGGACCAGAGGGGCCGCUUCCAGCCACUGCCUGCUGGGUCCAUUCAAAUUCUAACCUACAAUCCUGAAUUUCAGAUGCUAACUCAAGACAGAAAGGUGGAAAAUUAAGGGGCAUGAGGAAGGGAGGAAGCCCCUCACCCUGGGACCCAGGCUGCCUUCCUGCUGACUGAGUGUCAAGAAACUUCAACAUAACCAAUAAAAUCAAGUUGCCUAUA